RNAcentral lists this ribosomal RNA (357 nucleotides) under Aulacomerus atriventris. Its description in RNAcentral is "partial 16S ribosomal RNA". The record is from RNAcentral. Lineage: Eukaryota; Metazoa; Arthropoda; Insecta; Hymenoptera; Pergidae.
AUAAUAAUUUGUCUUUUAAUUGGAGGCUUGAAUGAAAGAUUGGACGAAAUAAAAUCUGUCUCAUAAAAAUUUAUUUUGAAUUUAAUUUUUAAGUUAAAAAGCUUAAAUUUUAUUAAAGGACGAGAAGACCCUAUAGAAUUUUAUAAUUAAAAAUUUAUUUAAUAAAAUUUUUUUUUAAAGUUUUUAAAUUAUUUUGUUGGGGCGACAGUAAAAUUAAUUAAACUUUUAUAAAUAAUAAAAAAUUAACAUUAAUUAAUGAAUAUAUUUAUGAUCCUGUAAUAUAGAUUAUUAGAAUAAGUUACCUUAGGGAUAACAGCGUUAUUUUUUUUUAGAGUUCUUAUUAAUAAAAAAGAUUGC